AAUCCAGAGAUGGAUUUGUGCCUUCGGGAACUGUGAGACAGGUGCUGCAUGGCUGUCGUCAGCUCGUGUUGUGAAAUGUUGGGUUAAGUCCCGCAACGAGCGCAACCCUUAUCCUUUGUUGCCAGCGGUUAGGCCGGGAACUCAAAGGAGACUGCCAGUGAUAAACUGGAGGAAGGUGGGGAUGACGUCAAGUCAUCAUGGCCCUUACGACCAGGGCUACACACGUGCUACAAUGGCGCAUACAAAGAGAAGCGACCUCGCGAGAGCAAGCGGACCUCAUAAAGUGCGUCGUAGUCCGGAUUGGAGUCUGCAACUCGACUCCAUGAAGUCGGAAUCGCUAGUAAUCGUGGAUCAGAAUGCCACGGUGAAUACGUUCCCGGGCCUUGUACACACCGCCCGUCACACCAUGGGAGUGGGUUGCAAAAGAAGUAGGUAGCUUAACCUUCGGGAGGGCGCUUACCACUUUGUGAUUCAUGACUGGGGUGAAGUCGUAACAAGGUAACCGUAGGGGAACCUGC
Molecule: ribosomal RNA, 518 nt
Filed under: Salmonella enterica
Lineage: Bacteria; Pseudomonadati; Pseudomonadota; Gammaproteobacteria; Enterobacterales; Enterobacteriaceae
Also listed under: 7 other names
Description: bacterial SSU rRNA
Rfam family: Bacterial small subunit ribosomal RNA
Source: RNAcentral